This 253-nucleotide ribosomal RNA is filed under the name uncultured bacterium. RNAcentral describes it as "partial 16S ribosomal RNA". It matches the Rfam family "Bacterial small subunit ribosomal RNA", at positions 524 to 776 of the family's 1533-position model. The record is from RNAcentral.
UACGUAGGUGGCAAGCGUUGUCCGGAUUUACUGGGUGUAAAGGGCGUGCAGCCGGGUUUAUAAGUCAGAUGUGAAAUCCCGCGGCUCAACCGCGGAACUGCAUUUGAAACUGUAGAUCUUGAGUACUGGAGAGGCAGGCGGAAUUCCUAGUGUAGCGGUGAAAUGCGUAGAUAUUAGGAGGAACACCAGUGGCGAAGGCGACUUUCUGGACGAUAACUGACGUUGAGGCACGAAAGUGUGGGGAGCAAACAGG